CCGUGUCUCUUCCACCAAAUCGAAGCCGCCGCCGUCGCACGUUGCUCCCACCCGCCGCACACCUGCUCCCACCCGCCCCGGCCUCGCCCGCCAUGGCCGCCCCCGCCACCGGCCGCCCCCACCGCGGCCGCCCAAGCUCGCACCCGCUGCGGCUACCCCUAGCCCCGGCCCCGCCCGCCGCGGCCGCCCCCGCCCCUGGCCCCGCCAGGGGAUCCACGCCGAGGACGACUACCCGUACCUCAUGGAAGAAGGCUGUUGCAAAGAGAAACAAGUUCGCACACAAAAAUCUUCACAUGUGAACUGGAUGAUACUAGGAUGCAGGGUUCUAAUCCUUUGCUCUGGCGUGCGUGUUUAGCCCCAAGUUGAUGUCGUCACUAUAACUGGGUACGAGGAUGUCCUAGAGAACAGCGAGAUCAGCCUGCUGAAAGCGUUGGCCCAUCAGCCUGUCAGCAUCGGCAUAACUGCAGGGAGUAGGGACUUCCAGUUCUACAGAGGGGGGGUGUUUGACGGGGCCUGCAGCGUCGAGCUCCACCAUGAGCUGACGGCCGUCGGGUACGGCUCGUCGUAUGGCCAGAACUACAUCACCAUGAAGAACUCGUGGGGCAAGAACUGGGGGGAGCAAGGCUACGUCAGGAUAAAGAUGGGCACCGGGAAGCCAGAGGGUGUCUGCGGAAUCUAUACCAUGGCCUCCUAUCCCUUGAAAAAUGCAACACGCUGGGGUACCUAAUUUUUUUGUAAUGAGUUUGUUCGAAAGUAUUAUUUUUAAUAUAAUCCACAUGGCAAGAUGCCUUUUUACCAUUGCUGUCAAGAUCCCAUACUUGAUUUCCCAAAAUCCAUGUUACACUCACCACUCCAGCACGAUAGGAACAACUAUAUAUUGUGAUCUAUCUACACGACUGUCUUGGAAGGCGGUAUAUAAUUGCGCGGCCAAGUGGUAACCAAAGUAUGGUCAGUUAAUCGGAACAACGUGCUCGUCUUCCUUUAACCUCCGCUCCCAAUCUCACCGGCAGGUGUUAAUCAAGUAUUGCUAACGAAGGAUUCACUAUGUUUGGUAGUGAAGGGCGAUGUCCGGAGAGUAAGAACGAGGCGACACAGUAUGGACUCGAUAUGACCGAGCAACAAUAUCUUGAGCAUUCGAUUCCAUGGAUAGCUGCCAAUGAUGCUGCUUGGCGUGCGUUUUGUCGUUACUGGGCUUCGGCUGAAUUCAAGGCAAAGUCUGUGCGACACAGUUCUAAUCAUGGAACCGAGUCAUAUCACAAGUAUGGAGGUGAUGAUCACUUUCGUUUGGCAAAACGAAUGGAAGCUAGCACUGGUGCAGUGCCUAGUGAUGUUCAAAUAUACCUUAGGGGGCACAGAGGACCAGAUCCUGCAAAUCUAGAUGUGUUGUACAGCCAAAAGCAACAGAUUGUGUGGCUGCAUAUGGUGAGGCGAUGUCUAGUCAGCAUGGACCAAACUAUGAUUGGAGGACCUCACAUAUUGAUCCUCAGGUUGUGUAUGCAAGUGGUGGAAAAGCUCAUGGAAGGUACACAAUGUUUGCUAACGUCAUCGACUCGAGCCAGGUGAGGGUUCAGCGUGGAGGUUCGUCGUGGUCUGCUGCUCGUAGCUCCCGUCUCUCCACUCAAGAUCCAGCAGAAGUGGAACAACUGCGAGAAGAACUUAGGCGACAUCAGGAUUUCUUGAAGCAACAAGCUGCGCAACAUGAAUAUUAUGCUACACAGAUUCAACAACAGCAAAACACUCAUACAACAACUAGCACAGGCUCAAGGGAUACACGUCCUGGUGCCCCCCCACCACCACCUCAUGUUCAUUAUCCUUGGUCUUCACCUCCACCUACACCUACAUCUCCAUCUACCGAACAUCAGACCCCUCCAGCCAUCUUGCCGACGCAUGAACGAGAAGACGGGUUAGACUUUGUUAAAACCCUCUUCGCUAGUGGAGGUAUCGACCAUCACUCGUCACUGUAACCCGAUGGUGAUCGGCGACCGUGAGCUUCCAUGUUAUUGUGCUUUGAUACUUGAGACUUUUAUUAUGACUAUCUAUGAGAUAUUGUCUCUUAUUAGUACUGGAUGAUGAGAUGUGUCUUAUUAUGACUAUGGAUGAGACUUUUGUGAUGUAAUUAAUAAGACUAUGGAUUUAAAUAUUGUUAUGUGAUUGUGUGUGAGAUGUUUUAUGUGAAAAUAUGU
Zea mays is the source of this 2183-nucleotide long non-coding RNA. RefSeq lists it as uncharacterized. The record is from RefSeq and is a predicted model, not a curated record. The transcript has 8 exons. Lineage: Eukaryota; Viridiplantae; Streptophyta; Magnoliopsida; Poales; Poaceae.